Molecule: ribosomal RNA, 408 nt
Filed under: uncultured bacterium
Lineage: Bacteria
Description: partial 16S ribosomal RNA
Rfam family: Bacterial small subunit ribosomal RNA
Source: RNAcentral
GACGAACGCUGGCGGCGUGCUUAACACAUGCAAGUCGAACGAAGUGGCGAACGGGUGAGUAACGCUUAAUCAACCUGCCCUUCAGAGGGGGACAACAGUUGGUAACGACUGCUAAUACCGAAUACUGAGGGAGGGGAUUGCGUGUGAUUAGCUAGGUGGUUGGGUAAAGGCCCACCAAGGCGAUGUUCAGUAGCCGGUCUGAGAGGAGGAACGGCCACAUUGGGACUGAGACAAGGCCCAGACUCCUACGGGAGGCAGCAGUGGGGAAUCUUCCGCAAUGGACGAAAGUCUGACGGAGCAACGCCGCGUGAGUGAUGACGGCCUUCGGGUUGUAAAGCUCUGUUAAUCGGGACGCGGUACCGGAAUAGAAAGCCACGGCUAACUACGUGCCAGCAGCCGCGGUAAUAC